Molecule: non-coding RNA, 150 nt
Organism: Caenorhabditis elegans
Lineage: Eukaryota; Metazoa; Nematoda; Chromadorea; Rhabditida; Rhabditidae
Source: Ensembl
AAAAACUUCAAAAUGUGGUUCACAUGCAUCGUAGAAAAAGUGAUGAGCUCCCAUUUCGUUGAGCAUCCGCCGCAUUCCACUUUUGUCGUCUUUGUUUUGAAUUAUCAUAUUCAAAGCUGCCUGGAGGGAUGCGCAAUGAUGUCUAGAAAU